UUCUGGAAGACCAUAGAACUGCGGAAGGAGAGUGGAGUUAGGAGAAACCAGCUGUGUCUCAGCAGACUCGAGGACCCGAUCUCCGUGGGCCCCGUGCGUGCACACAGAAAGUCAGAGGGAGCCGGGCACCUCCUCCUCAUCCCUGCGUCAGAAGGCACACGCAAGGCACAUCUUCCACGCGGCGUGUCACUCACUCCGCCACACGGCCGAAAUCCCCUCGGAAGACGUCUCCGCGCACCCCGAGCCCGGCCCCGGAAUCCCGGUCCUUCCCCCACAGCCACCAGGCCGGCCAGCGCCCAGGACGCGCAGGCCGUAGCUCCCCCCACUCCAAACCGCCGGGAACCCACGGCCAGACCCACCUCUGCACAAAAGCACAAAGUGCGACCCGAUGUGUCUGCGCACUUCGAGCACGAAGGAGCACUCCCAGGUCGCAGGUAGCGCCUGGGCAAGCACUGGUUAAGUCAGGUAGGGCGCUGAGAUGAUUCAGAACAACCUCCCUCCAGGCCGUUUCGCCAUGUUUGUGGGCGCCAGGCUGGACUACAUUUCCCAGAAGGCUGUGCUGAUCUCAUCAACUCCCCGCGAGAACCGCUAUGUCCGAAGGAAUUUGCUUUUGUGACCACGAGAAGGCCCUCUCCGGAGGAAGAUAAAAGCGUAGGUGUGAUUAUGACGAGCGCUCUCGAACGGAGCCCUUUGAUUAAACCAGGCUGGGGCCCUCAGAAACUUCCGAAGCGUUUCAGUUCGGGGCCAGGAGGAGGGCCAGCUUCAGGCUUACAUGUGUGGCAUAAAAGGGCUCGGUAACGCAGCUCCGGGCCUCCCUCUACUCCCGUGCUGGACUACAUUUCCCGGAGGCCUCCGCGGCCGGCGUGCCUCGCGCAGGAACCCCGUGGUCUCCGGACCAGACAACGGGCUCGUGGAGCUCCCGCAGGCACGGUUCCAAGUUCUCGGUGGCCUAGGGCUGCGGAGCAGUGGGAUCCGAGGAUCGGCGCGCCCUGGGGCUGAGGCCUGUGCACGUGGUAGCGACCAGCUAGGGUUGUGGGAAGAGAGUGCAUCUGUGGCUUUUAAAUACAACCUGAACUCUCAUAAUUUGAGCAUUUAUAUGGCCUGGUGGAAGACGAGCUGGGAACUCAAGCCAGUUCUCCCUCGUGAGGGGCAGGAACCCUGUCACUUGAGCCGUCCUUGCUGCCUCCCAGGUUCUCCAUUAGCUGGAAGUUAAGUCCGGGGCUGGAGGCAGGCAGCUGGGGUUUGUUACAGGACCCCGGCAUACAGGUGUGUGUUAUCAACACGUCCAAACGUGAGCCCCUGGCAGGAAGGAUUUUUAAUGCUGUGGUGGACUGAAGGAAGACAAUGACAGAUGUUAAGCAGGAGAGCGAUCCACGUGACUAAGCCAUCUGGGUUUUCUUUUCCACUGCUUGGUGCUCAUCCAGAAGAGAAAGUUCUCAUAAUCUUUUCGAAGGAGCUAGUUGUGCAAGGUCGGGCGGGACACCCACCAAAAGCACCCCUUUAGCCUCCUACAGGAUCCGGGAAACCACAGCAGGAGCUAGCACCUUGAAUACUUACACAUUAAAGGUGUGGAUCCCGGGCCCUUGAGACAGUUCUGGGUGGUAGAUUUUACGUCUCAGGGGCAAAGAAAGGAUUUCAAGUUGUAAGCCUUGGAAAAUAACUGCGCCAAGCUUAGCCAAGCUUAUCUGCAGGUUUCGGCUGGAACAAACAGUACCUUCUCAGCAGUUUCUUUUACAGGCAUUUUAAAGGGGGCUAGGGUCAUACUAGGGACACAGCCUCGAGCUAAGAAGCCUUGCUAGAGUUUGGUCAAGUGUAUCUUUUAAACCUUUACUUAUUUAUUUGAAAGUCAGAGAGAGGGAGAGACAGGGAGAGAUCUUCCAUCUGCUGGUUCACUUCCCAAAUGGCCGAAUUGGUGGGGCUGAGCUAGAAGCCAGGAGCUUCUGGGUCUCCCCACACGGGUGCAGGGGCCCUAGUACUCGGGCCAUGCUCUGCUGCUUUCUCCAGGCCAAUAGCAGGGAGCUGGAUUGGAAGCAGAGCAGCCAGGACUCGAACCAGUGCCCAUAUGGGAUGCUGGCAUCACAGGUGGUGGCUUUACUGGCUACACCACAAUGCCCCGGUCAAGUCUUAUUGCAGGCUUUUAGAUAGUCACUUGGGCCAAGAGUUUUUGCAGUUCUUUUUUGAUAAUUAUAUGAAAUAAUUAGCCAAGGAAUUUCUCUUGAUAAGGAAAAGUAUUUGUGACAUUAGCUGAUAUGUUUUACAAAGGAACAGUUUCUAACAAGGUGUACUUUGUUGCCUGGGACUGUCCUGGCAUUGUAAGAUUAUAAACCAGUAUGUCUGGCCCUUAGACAGUAAAUUCUAUUGGCAUGUUUCCAUCACUGUAACAACCAAAACUUGAUACCACGCAUCUCCAAAGCUCCCUAGUGGGGGACAUAAUUACCCAAGGAGAAUCUGUUACUCAGCGAUAAACAUGACUUUAUGCAAACAGAACUACUUCUAGAGGUGGUGAAAGAGGAAUCACUAACGCGAUCUGAGUGAGCUAUCUACCUGCAUAUCACAGCAUCUCUCUUCUGGAACUGCUGACCUCAUGCAUACUUCUGCUGCUAAAGUCCUCCGUGUUCCUUCCUUGUCUUUCGUCCCCCUUCUUCAGGAUAUCUCAGCAUUCGUUAUUCCUGCAGUUGCUCCCCUGUUACUGCAGCUUUUGGUUCUUGCCCUGCUGCAUUGGUUAGGACUUCAGAACAACGCCGGUCUCAUUCCUGGACACCAAGGGAAAGCUUUCAGCAGCUCACCAUUAAGAAAGUGUCUUCUCCCCGGCACUGUGGCUCACUAGACUAAUCCUCCGCCUAGCGGCACCGGCACACCGGGUUCUAGUCCCGGUCGGGGCGCCGGAUUCUGUCCCGGUUGCCCCUCUUCCAGGCCAGCUCUCUGCUGUGGCCCAGGAAGGCAGUGGAGGAUGGCCCAGGUGCUUGGGCCCUGCACCCCAUGGGAGACCAGGAGAAGCACCUGGCUCCUGCCUUCGAAUCAGCGCGGUGCGCCGGCCGCAGCAGCCAUUGGAGGGUGAACCAACGGCAAAAGGAAGACCUUUCUCUCUGUCUCUCUCUCUCACUGUCCACUCUGCCUGUCAAAAAAAAAAAAAAAAAGCGUCUUCUCUAGGAAUCUUACAGAUACCUUGAUGCAACCACAGAAGUUCCCAUUUUUCUUUAUUUGCUAACUGGAUACAUCUUAUGAAAUGUCUUUUCUCCAUCUACUUAGAUGCUAAGUAAAAUGACUCUACUGCAUUAUUGGCUUAACCCAAUCUUAUUCAUAACAUAUUGCUGUAUACAUUACAGGAUCUAAUAUCCUGUUAUUUUGUAUUUUUGCAUAUGGGUUCAUCAGUGUGCCCUGUAACUUCUUUCUCUUGAAUUUUCUUGUUACCUUUCAUUAUCUAUUUUUGCCUCAACUCAUAAAAUAAAUUGGAUAUGUUUUAGUCUUUACCAGUUCUUUGAAGAUCUUUUAUAAUACAAGUAUUGAGUUUUGUUUCCUUAAACAUUUGGUAGAAUACAACAAAGAAGCCACCUGAACCUGAAUUGUCUCACGGGAAAGGUUUGCAACAAUGGAUUACAUUUCCUUGAGCCAAAUGACUCUUCAGGUUGUCUAUUACUCCACAUGGCGGAGUUGGUGUAUUAUAUAAAAGUAGGUUUUGUCUGUUUCACCUAAAUGUUCAAUUGUAGUGCUAUAAAUUAUAUAGAACAUGCUUUUUUUUAACAUAAUAAGUAUACCACUUUUAUUUACUGAUGUUUGUUUAACCACCUGGCUUAUUCUCAAGAAAGCUUGAGAUCAUCGCUGGCACAAAUGAUGGAUGGGCAUACACAAAACAAACAACUCAUACACCAAAAUAACCUUCCACAACAAUACGCACACAUACAGGCUCACUGACACGGCACCUGCUCACUGUGUACACAGAACCUGAGUGGGAACGACAGGUAACAUUGAGUGCUUACCCUGUGCCAAAUGCUGUCACAUCUUUAUGAUUGCCUAGACUUCUCUACAUGUCAUUUUUAAUUUUUUUAAAAAGAUUUAUUUAUUUAUUCAAAAGGCAGAGUUAUAGAGAGAGGGAGAGAAAGAGAGAGAGAGAGAGAAUCUUCCAUCUGCUGGUUUACUCUCCAAGUGGCUGCAAUGAGCAGGGUUGGACCGGGCUUCAGACAGGCACCAGGAGCUUCUUCCAGGUAUUCUAUGUUGGCAGCACCUGCCCAAGAACUUGGGCCACCUUCUGCCGCCUUCCCAGGUACAUUAGCAGGGAGCUGGAUCAGGAAGUGGAGCAGCCGAGACACCAGCUAGCACCCACACUGGAUGCUGGCAUUGCAGGCAGCAGCUAAACUUGCUAUA
Molecule: non-coding RNA, 4362 nt
Organism: Oryctolagus cuniculus (rabbit)
Lineage: Eukaryota; Metazoa; Chordata; Mammalia; Lagomorpha; Leporidae
Source: RefSeq, a predicted model, not a curated record